GAGGCCGUCCCGCAGAUCGACGUGCUCGAGCAACGAGAGAGCCGUGUUCGAUCGCUUCCUGUUCGCCUCCCACAUCCUUCCCAUCCAUUCUUAGUAUUCGGGAAAUACAGAGAGCGAGGAUUCUGUACUCCAUGGAGAAGCGAGACGCCGCACUGCGCGACGAAAGACUCAAUAAAAAGUUCCUCGAAGCGAAUGUGGAGAGUGCCUUUCACCCCGAUUCCGUCUGACCUAGAAGACGCGCUUCUUCCUCGCGGGAGCCACGAAGAGGAAGGAGAUCGACAGGAGAUUUGAAAAGUACCACGGAUGCGUUGUCCGACCGAUUCAUCGGCGACCUCGAUGGCACGCUAACCGUAAGAAGCCGAAGAAGCGCGAAUCAACGGCGGAUCAGCGCGCCUCGAGAGUAUCUCUAAUCGCGACCAGAGCGUUGACGUCGGCAGUGACAUUCUUAGGAUUUCGAUCCUGGCGCGCAAAGCGCUCUCUACACUCGCACCGGCACCUUCUACGGCGCGCCGCUCAUCGCCGCCGCUCGUCGACGCCGUUGCUACCCCGGCUCGGGCGUCAACACC
Molecule: long non-coding RNA, 566 nt
Organism: Dinoponera quadriceps
Lineage: Eukaryota; Metazoa; Arthropoda; Insecta; Hymenoptera; Formicidae
Exons: 3
Source: RefSeq, a predicted model, not a curated record